GCCAUAACUCAUCCAUCAGAAGGUCAUAACUCAUCCAUCCAGAGUGCGAUUGAGGUCAAUGAGUACUUGAUGGAAAGCUUGUUUAGUAAGAUUUCAAAUAGAAUUGAUAUCACCUCAAUAUCACAUCAACAAGACCUCCAAAUCAUCAAGACACGUGCUGAUAUUUCUAUCGAGUACUACGACAUCGUCGUAGGCCUAGCUAUUAAUCACCGUUGGGACCUUGGACCAAGUGGGAGCACUCCCCAACCAUGUGGAGAACAUCUAAAGUAUGUCCAAGAAUGUACUAGUUCUUUGCCACCAC
Molecule: long non-coding RNA, 301 nt
Filed under: Sorghum bicolor (sorghum)
Lineage: Eukaryota; Viridiplantae; Streptophyta; Magnoliopsida; Poales; Poaceae
Description: long non-coding RNA (SBIC_LNC009894)
Source: RNAcentral